RNAcentral lists this ribosomal RNA (279 nucleotides) under uncultured bacterium. RNAcentral's name for it is "partial 16S ribosomal RNA". It matches the Rfam family "Bacterial small subunit ribosomal RNA", at positions 506 to 784 of the family's 1533-position model. The record is from RNAcentral.
UGCCAGCCGCCGCGGUAAUACGGAGGAUGCAGGCGUUAUCCGGAUUUAUUAGGUUUAAAGGGUGUCUAGGCUGCCACAUAAGUCAGAGGUGAAAGUCGGUUGCUCAACAAUCGAAUUGCCUUUGAAACUGUGUGGCUCGAAUAUAGAUGAGGUAGGCGGAAUGUGUAGUGUAGCGGUGAAAUGCAUAGAUCCCAUCGGGACCACCUGUGGCGAAGGCGGCUUACUGGGACAGAUCCGACGGUCAGGCACGAAAGCUAGGGUAGCGAAGCGGAUUAGAUA